This 96-nucleotide microRNA precursor is filed under the name Podarcis lilfordi (Lilford's wall lizard). Lineage: Eukaryota; Metazoa; Chordata; Lepidosauria; Squamata; Lacertidae. The record is from RNAcentral.
UGAUGAUGAUGACCAUGAUGAUGAUGAUGGCCAUGAUGAUCAUGUUUUUGAUGGUGAUGUUGACCAUGAUGACCAUGAUCUUAAUGAUGAUGAUGA